GCAACUCGACUGCACGAAGCUGGAAUCGCUAGUAAUCGCGGAUCAGAAUGCCGCGGUGAAUACGUUCCCGGGUCCUUGUACACACCGCCCGUCACACCAUGGGAGUCAGUAACGCCCGAAGUCAGUGACCUAACCGAAAGGGAGGAGCUGCCGAAGGCGGGACGGAUGACUGGGGUGAAGUCGUAACAAGGUACC
Molecule: ribosomal RNA, 195 nt
Filed under: uncultured bacterium
Lineage: Bacteria
Description: partial 16S ribosomal RNA
Rfam family: Bacterial small subunit ribosomal RNA
Source: RNAcentral